GGAAACGCCCGGUUACAUUUCGAACCCGGAAGCUAAGC
RNAcentral lists this ribosomal RNA (38 nucleotides) under Streptomyces decoyicus. The record is from RNAcentral. Lineage: Bacteria; Bacillati; Actinomycetota; Actinomycetes; Kitasatosporales; Streptomycetaceae.